GAAAUCAAGGCGAAGAUCAACCGGCUGUCGCAAACCCUUUCGAACACGGUAAUUAAUUCUCUUGCAAAAACACCCAAGAGGCGGUGUGGUUCUUUUUGCCUGUCUGUCUGUCUAUGAUNAAAACACCCAAGAAGCGGUGUGGUUCUUUUUGCUUGUCUGUCUGUCUGUCUAUGAUAUGGUUUGCUGAGAAGAAGAAUGAACAACUGGUGCAGACGCUGGUGUCGAGGCUGCCUGACCGUGGGGAG
RNAcentral lists this long non-coding RNA (245 nucleotides) under Hordeum vulgare. RNAcentral describes it as "long non-coding RNA (HVUL_LNC006112)". The record is from RNAcentral. Lineage: Eukaryota; Viridiplantae; Streptophyta; Magnoliopsida; Poales; Poaceae.